RNAcentral lists this unclassified non-coding RNA (316 nucleotides) under plant metagenome. RNAcentral describes it as "partial contains 5.8S ribosomal RNA, internal transcribed spacer 2, and large subunit ribosomal RNA". The stretch from base 1 to 105 matches the Rfam family "5.8S ribosomal RNA", at positions 50 to 154 of the family's 154-position model. The record is from RNAcentral.
GAACUGCGAUAAGUAAUGUGAAUUGCAGAAUUCAGUGAAUCAUCGAGUCUUUGAACGCACAUUGCGCCCCCUGGCAUUCCGGGGGGCAUGCCUGUCCGAGCGUCAUUGCUGCCCUUCAAGCCCGGCUUGUGUGUUGGGUCGUCGUCCCCCCCGGGGGACGGGCCCGAAAGGCAGCGGCGGCACCGUGUCCGGUCCUCGAGCGUAUGGGGCUUUGUCACCCGCUCGAUUAGGGCCGGCCGGGCGCCAGCCGGCGUCUCCAACCUUAUUUUUCUCAGGUUGACCUCGGGUCAGGUAGGGAUACCCGCUGAACUUAAGC